RNAcentral lists this ribosomal RNA (402 nucleotides) under uncultured bacterium. RNAcentral's name for it is "bacterial SSU rRNA". It matches the Rfam family "Bacterial small subunit ribosomal RNA", at positions 355 to 774 of the family's 1533-position model. The record is from RNAcentral.
UGGGGAAUCUUGCACAAUGGGGGAAACCCUGAUGCAGCGACGCCGCGUGAACGAUGAAGCCCUUCGGGGUGUAAAGUUCUUUCGACAGGAACGAUAAUGACGGUACCUGGAGAAGAAGCUGCGGCUAACUACGUGCCAGCAGCCGCGGUAAUACGUAGGCAGCGAGCGUUGUUCGGAGUUACUGGGCGUAAAGAGUGCGUAGGCGGCGAGCCAAGUUUGGUGUGAAAUCUCCCGGCUUAACCGGGAGGGUGCGCCGAAAACUGGUUGGCUGGAGUAUGGGAGAGGAAAUCGGAAUUCCUGGUGUAGCGGUGAAAUGCGUAGAUAUCAGGAGGAACACCUGCGGUGUAGACAGCUUUCUGGACCAAAACUGACGCUGAGGCACGAAAGCGUGGGUAGCAAACA